CUGUCCAGCUAGGGGAUGAGAGAGGCCGACGGUAUUCCUGGGGUAGGGGUGAAAUCCUAUAAUCCCAGGAGGACCACCAGUGGCGAAGGCUGUCGGCUAGAACAUGCCCGACGGUGAGGGAUGAAAGCUGGGGGAGCGAACCGGAUUAGAUACCCGGGUAGUCCCAGCUGUAAACGAUGCAGGCUAGGUGUUAGGGCGGCCACGUGCCGCUCUAGUGCCGCAGGGAAGCUGUUAAGCCUGUCGCCUGGGGAGUACGGCUGCAAGGCUGAAACUUAAAGGAAUUGGCGGGGGAGCACCACAAGGCGUGAAGCUUGCGGUUUAAUUGGAGUCAACGCCGGAAAUCUCACCGGGGGCGACAGCAGGGUGAAGGCCAGAUUAAAGGUCUUGCCAGACGAGCUGAGAGGAGGUGCAUGGCCGUCGCCAGUUCGUGCCGUGAGGUGUCCUGUUAAGUCAGGCAACGAUCGAGACCCGCAUCUCCAGUUGCCACCAGCCAUGAGUUGGGCACACUGGGGAGACCGCCGCCGAUAAGGCGGAGGAAGGAGCGGGCCACGGCAGGUCAGUAUGCCCCGAAUCU
This 574-nucleotide ribosomal RNA is filed under the name uncultured crenarchaeote. RNAcentral's name for it is "bacterial SSU rRNA". It matches the Rfam family "Archaeal small subunit ribosomal RNA", at positions 584 to 1163 of the family's 1478-position model. The record is from RNAcentral. Lineage: Archaea; Thermoproteati; Thermoproteota.